AGGGCCUUGAUGUCUCUUAGCUGAAUAAGAUCGGUUGUGUUUGUAGGGUUAUAUAUAUAUAUAUAUAAUGGUUGAUGUUUCAUGGUUGGUCUCCACGGUUGUCUACUUAUAGCUCUGGUAAAAAUAAUGAAGAAUAAGCCUCCAUUUCAUUUUAGUUCAGUGAGCAUGUCUGGCUCAGUGUGUUCGCUAGAUUUCCAGGAUGGUAUUACUUUAGCACCUCUUUUUAGGCUGGAUUCUGUAGUACUUUUACUCCAAGCUCUUUGGAUGGUGUUUAACGAAAUGCUUGGCAUGUAGUAUGAAUAUAAAAGCUCCUGGUACUUUUGUGAUAUUGUUGCUCGCCGGAUUUUGUUGCUUCCUUUUAACAGUUAAGAAUCCCAGGCAUCCGUGUUCUUCCACAGAAGAUAGUUUUGGCGAUGAUAUAACAGGCCUUUCUUAAGGGGCGCACUAGAAUUAGGUGAUAAGAAUUAAUGAUGCUGACAACAUAUCUGGUUAAUGAAUUUUGCAUUUUCUAUCUCGAGGAUGUUAGGUUAUACAAUGGAGUGUGCUUCUUCUCCGUUACAUAAACUACAGAUAACGACACUCGAAUUAACCUUACUGCUACUUACAAUAAUGGCAAUGAACAACAUUAAGAUACCCCGAGGCUUGUAGCCCAGCGGUGGCAAGGGAUUCCUUGCCUCUGGGUUCAAGCCUCCGCGUGUACGCCUGUCAUCCUCGCGGUGGUUUACAUGCUAUUGGGUUAGCAGGAUGUUCAGUGGACUGUGGGAUUAAUCAUGGUGCGUGUAAGCUGGCCCGAACACCAAUAUAAAUAAAAAAAAAUAAACAACAUUAAGAUUAUAGAAACAUAACCUGAUGGACAUUGGACUGAUGCCGACAAAACUCAUCAAGUUAGUUGAAUUGUGUACCCGCGCUCUAACACCAUUGAAGAUCUUAGCUGCCCAAAUAUGUUGGUUUUUUUUUUGUUUUUGGUUAAAUUAGUAUAAUAAACAUAAAAAAUUGAUGGAAUAACAUUACUGGAAAAAAAUUAGGUAAAAUAAUACGUUUUAUUUUGUUGUUUUUUUAAAAACAUGAUAUUUACUAAAUAUCACUAUUUCUAAACAUGAUAUUUAAUAAAUAUCACGUUUCUAAUUAUAAUGUUAUUCCACUAAAUUUUUACGCGCUAAUUACUUAAUUUAUUCUAAAUAUAUACAUAAGCUCAAAUUCAGGACCAAACAAAAUUUAAGGGCAAAGUCGUGCAACAGACGUAAAUGUAGUGGGGGUAUUGACAAUGAUCUACGUUUCUUUAUCUCCAUUUCUUAUUUUAGAAGCUAUACAUAGGACCUCUAUGAUUUCAUAUCUUGUAUGUGUGUUUGCUUUAGGACUUGUAGAUUUUUGCUAGUUUGACUGCAUUUUAUUCUUGUGCAUAAUUGUCAAUUCUUUAUGUCUUCCUUUUUAUUUUUAACCUAGAUCAUUCUAGGCCGAGUCAGUCAAGCUUUUAUUUAUAUUUUUUAAAAAAUUUAUGUUAUGUGAAAAUUAAAAGAGAAAGUUGUGGGCAGUAGAAAUGAAAUUAUACGUGUCAAUAAUGGUGUUGAGCAUACGUACUUUGAAGGUUGAAUCAUGAUAAGUUCAACUCUAUAACAUUUAAAGUUUUUUUUUUUCCUAUGUUUAAUUUAACUUUUUAGUUUUGUUUUGGCAAAUAAGUUGUGGCAUUUUUAUUUUAAAUAUCAGCAUAAAUGGAUUUAUUUGCACUUUAGAGGGAGUUCAAGAAUGAAAGAAGUCGUUGUCGAUGACAACAACGAUGGUUAUUGAUUGCUUUAAGACCUCAACACGUACAAGAUACAGGGUACAAAGACGUGAUUGGCGUGUAUUAAGAUUUUCUAAAAUCAAGAUAUUUUGUGUUAGUAUAAUGUUUUGUUAGAUGUUUUGUGCUAUUAUAAAGGCAUGGUAGGCGCAUAUUAAGAUUUUCUAAAAUCAUGGUGAGCACAAUAAUUAAAACAAAAUAAAUUUUUUAAAUGUUUAUAUUAGAUUCCAAUAAACAUAAAAAGUUAAAGAUGUUCAAAACUCUAACUAAGUCAUCAUCAAUUAUCUUUUAUUGUGUAGAACUCAUUCAUAAUCAUAUAUGUUGUGAAGUUCAUAGAAAUAUUUUUUUUUUCUAUAUAGACAACUAAAUUGUUGGCAAGAAAAUCAUUAUCAAUUUUGUUACAAAACCUUAUUUUCAUCAACUCCAUUGUAGAAAAAGCUUCCUCUAUACUUUUGAUAUUCUAGAAGUUGUCAUUGCUCUACACAACUUAGAAAGAGCAGUCAAUUUCUAAAACUUUGGAUGUUUUGGUAUAUCAAGCUUAUAAUAUUACAAUUGAAAUCUCAAAUGAAGUUUCUCUUACUCACUAAAAUCUUUGGCUUAAAAGUUUUUAGCCAAAUUAUAUACAUCAUCAAUAUUGAAUGAGUUAUAAGAAUCACAAGGACAUAAUACUGAACUUAAAAUAAAAAGCUCAACUGUUUGAUCAUAAAAUCUACCAUUUAACUCUUAUAAUUAAAAGUCGAUUGCAGCUACAAAUAUAUCAACUUUGAAAUAAUGUUCAAAAGUUAUGAGAACUUCACUUUGAUUACGAUACUUGCCACGCACUCUUGUAUAUUGUGCUUUCAAAUCAAGAAUAUCAAUAUCAUUUUAUGCACAAAACUCUUUGACAUUUUAAAGAAAAGGUUCUAAUCCAUCAUCGUGUAACUUUUAAAUCAAUGACUUUGUAAAUGAAAUUAAACUUAUGGCAUUAACAAUGUCUUGAUCAUGUUGUUGCAAAGCUUGGCAUAAAACAUUGGUAAUUCCCAUAAUUUGUUUCAUCAAAUGCAAUAUGAAAACAAAUUCAAAAGAUGUUAAUGCCAAAUAAACUCCUUUCGUAUCACCUCGUCAAGAAUAAUUUGCUGCAUCUUUAGAGAUAAUAUUGAUAACUUUAUAAGUUGCACUAAACAUCCUUAAAAAGCUACAAAUUGAUUGAAAAUAAAAACUCCAUCGAGUAUCACCAAGUCGUUGUAAGGGGUAGUCUUGGAUUGCUCAAUUUCGUGUCUUUAUUUCAUCUUUGGCAGUUUUAUUGCUUGAGAAAUUUGUAAAUCAUUAUUUAUUUUACAUGAACUAACAACAAUAUUAAUAAUAGAAGUCAAACUUGAAAAAAAAUUGACAAACAAGUUUUACUUCUCUAGAGGAAACAAAAAGAGUUAAUUAUGACCUAAGAGCUAGACAAUGUACAUAAUAAGCAAAAUGACAAUCUUUAAGAAACAAAGCUUGAAGUCUAUUCCACUUACCUUACAUAUUGCUUACACCAUCAUAUUUUUAAACUCGAAUAUGUUCUACAAGAAGAUCAUAACGAGAUAGAACAUUGCAUACCUCUUGUUUUAGAGUUAAUGUUAUAUUGUCUUUCACAUGCACAACCUAGAAAAAAAAUGCUCCCGAAUGAAACCAUCUUUGUUAAAAAAUCAUAAUAUAAUUGCCAUUUGUUCCCUUUUUUACUUCAUCUCUUGUUUCAUUAAUAAUGAUACAAACUUUGAAUCCUCAAUCUUAUCAUGAAUCACCCUUUAUACAUUGCUAGGAAAGAUACUUAAGAUAUCCUUUUGAAUUCCAUGAGAAGUAUAUUUAACAUUUUGACGAGGAUUAUUUUUUAGAACAAGCCCACCAAGCUUAUUAUUAUGACUUCCUAUGAGCUUCAUAGUUCAAUAAAAUUUCCUUGAUUUUUUAAACCAUGUAUUUCAUCAUGGCCUCUAAAGGCUCAUAUUUGGAAAGUUAGCCAUCAAAAGUUAUCAAUUGUAGCUCUAAGUCAUAGACAAUUAUUCUCAACUUCUUGUGAUGAUCUUUUAUCUACCAAGUUGUAAAUAUCUUAUUCACUCCUUAAAUCUUUACAACAUUUCAUUGUAAUUCUAUGUGAUGAGUUCUUCUUCCUAACAUGACUCAAUAAAAGGACAAUAAAUCCCAUCAUUUACCUUUCUCCAAUUAACAAAGACUACGGAUACAAAAGCAUCUGAUCCUGGCUUACUUGUUGUCUUACCAAAAAGGCAGAAGGUAGAUAAAAUAUAGCUUUCACUACAUUUAAGUACUCUAGUCAACUUGAAAAUGCUUUAAACCAAGAAGCUUGAAAUCAACGAUGAUGGUUCUUAUUUUUUGAAAAAGGAUACCCUGAAUGCAUAGGUUGGAAUUGACUGACUUUGAGAUAAACACAACAAAUUUGUAUUUAUUUGGUUAACAUGAAUAUCCCAUAUCAUUAAUUAGACGUAAUCAGAUCACAUUUCAAAGAAGUAACAUUCAUUUUUUCAGGAUGAAUUUUUUGUUUUUAGAUGGACAUUCAUUGAGUUCCUUAAAUUCAAGAGAUAUUUCAUCAAGAUUUCGAGAAGGAGUUACCAUGUUUGAAGUAGUAGCUAUAACAAAUAUAUUGUUAUUUGGGAGAUUGACAUAUGAUUUCUUAAAAAAAAAAAAAAAAGAGUAUAGAGCUCUUUAUUGCUGUAUCUCUACUUUUAAAACUUAGAGAUAAAGUAAACCUAAAAAAUAUCAUCACUAUUAGUUCAAGAAUUAAUCUUGUAGAUAAGUAUAAUCAUAAUAAAAAAAAUAAAACAAUUUGCUUCUUUCAAAAGUAAACCCAAAACAAAUGCCUAAUAAAAAUAGUGAAUUGUAUGAUUUCAAAUUUACAUGCUCAAGUUUGAUGGACAAUUACUCCAUGAUGUUUGCUUAACUCAAAAGCUAAACAUAUCACCACAUUUUAACAAGUAUAGGAAAAGAAACAAAAAAAAAAAAUCAAAUUACUAUAUACAAUAAAAUGUAGAUGUUUACAUGUCCAACUAGUUCCUAAGCUAUAAAUCCUCCAAAUUAAUAAAAACAAAAGAAAAGGUAAAGGUGGGACUGAAAAACAAAUUACCAUAUCUACAAGAUUUGUUUUCCCAUCAUAUUUAAAAACUACUUUUACGAAAAUCAAAAUCAAACCAAAUAUCAAGAUAUUAAAUCUUUGAGAAAAUUAGAAAAUAAACAAAACAUAGAAAGGAAACCCACUUAUAGAGUUAUAGUCGUUAAGCCUAAGUUGCAAAAAAAAAUCCAGAAAAUGAGAGAUAUAAUAAUGGAGACUGUAGAAAAUUAAGAGAACAAAAGAAAUUAAAAAGUCUUUUCAUCAUUUUCUUUUGUAGUUUUAAAUUACUUCAAUGUUAGUGUGCUGCUUCUGCACUAAUAUUGUUAGUGUUAAUGGUAAGUAGAGAUGCAACUUACAGAUUAUAAAAUAUUACGGGGUCUUAAAAAUAAUUUAAUCCUUUUUUCUUUGAGGGUUUUAUUGCACUUACAACACAACACAUACAGUAGGCUCUAAAAACAUAACAGAACUAAUGCAUCCCUUAUUGACCAAAACCAAUGUAUAAAUACACCACGAGUAUAAUAGAGAAUUAAUAAGAUCCUACAAACUAGGAGGUUGUUACAAACUGAAUCCUACAUUUGAAUAUACAAUCUGAUAUGGAUAAAUUAAAAUCUGAUUCUCUCUAAUAUGCCCCCUCAAGAUGGAUCUCGGGAGAGAAGUCCAAUCUUGUACUUGAGUUGAAGAAAACAUUGGCGUGGAAAAGGCUUUGUAAGUGCAUUAGCGAGUUGAUCUUCAGAAGAAACAUAAGCCACACUAAGAGCACAAUUCUGAACUUGAUCCCGAAUAAAGUGAAAAUUUAUUGCAACAUGCUUCAUUCAAGAGUGAAAAAUUGGAUUGGAACAGAGUUGUGUGGCACCAAUAUUAUCACAAUAAAUGACAAAACAACAAGGAAGUGUAAUAUCGAGAUAAGUGAGAAGAUAAAAAAUGAAAUUAAGUUUAGCAACAAUAUUGGUAACAGAUCAAUACUCCGUCUCAGUAGAAGACCUAGCCACAAUAUGUUGCUUUUUAGAACUCCAAGAUAUUGGAUUUUUACCCAAAUAAACAACAUGAGUAUUGGUGGAGCAAAAAAUAUCAUUGUCCCCAGCUCAGUCAGCGUCAGAGAAAGCAUAUAAAUUUAUAGAGGAGUCAUGACAGAUUUGCAAGCCAUCAUUAAUGGUGCCAACAAGAUAACAUAGCAAAGGCAAUGUCUAGUAAUGUUAUUAGCGAAUAUUGGAGACUCCCAACUACCUGGCAAUACUUAGUGGGAUCAGAUAGAGAGGUACCUGAGUUUAACAUGAGAGAAGGACUUAUUGGUAGGGGAGUAAGAAAAAUCUUUGCAUCUUGCAUCUUUCUUUUAUUGAGGAGAUCUUUUACAUAAUUUCGUUGUGAGAGUAACAAUCCAUGUUUGUUUGGGACAACUUCUACAUCUAGAAAGUAAGUUAGGAAUUUGAGAUCUUUGAUGGAAAACUGCUGAGCAAGGAUCACAAUAAAUUGAUUAAUGUUUGUAGCAUUGUCUCCUGUGAGAAUUAAAUCAUCAAUAUAAACAAGUAGGUACAUAGUGUGUCCAUCAACUUGAAAGAUAAGAGUGAAGGUCAGUAUAUGAGUUUUGAAAGCCAAGCUAUAGAAGAAAUGUUCGAAGCUCAUGAUACCAUGUUCGAAGAGCUUAUUUCAGUUUGUAAAUUGCUUUUCUAAGUUUGUAGACUGAUUAGUACUUAAAAGUAUAUUUUUAUCAAGGUUUUAUAUCAUUAUUUUGCACUUGAAGUAUCAAUAACUCCUUAACAAAAGCAUGUUUUAUAAUAACAUAUCUAAUAAUAUAAGAUACCUUUAAUUUAUGGUAAAUGUUCAUCUUAAAUGCAGGCCUAUCACAUAAAUGAAAGGAUUGAUUGAUGAGUUUAAGUACUGAAAUUGAAAGGACAAAGAGAGGGCCAAACUUAGAAAAGAUAUGCUGGUUCAGGCUAAACUGGAACACUAUUUGGUAAUUGGGUCAUAUCUGGAGCUGUAGAUCUAGGAUUUAGGUUUGCUUUAUAUGGAUGGAAAGAUAAGACAUAUGCCUAAAACUUUCAUGUGGAGUCUAAGAUUUAAAAAGGUCAUUUUCAAGUCCAAAUUAUAGCAACAGCGAAGAAGUAUGAAUUUGUCCUGCAUCUCAGAUACUAUUCAGUGUUCAACCCAUAUCUCGAGUUCUAGAAGUCCAAAUAAUCUCAAUUUUUUUUUUGUUGAAAAGCUGAGAUAAUUUUCUAAUACUUUCAUGAAUCAAGUCUAUUCAAAUUCUGAUGUUAGCAAUGACGUUUUGUUCAGACAAGAAUAUAAAGAUUGUUACCAAGUCAAGAUGUGGCCACCCACUCUACAAUUAGUCAACAAAUCAAUAGUUCUAAAUUUUAGCCUAUAAAAAAAGGCAUUUGCCAAGCAUUUAGGCAUCUUGGUUGUUCAGAUCAAGAUCAUGCUUUUUAUUUCUUUCUUUAUAUUUUUGUAAUGUUUAAGUUUUAUUUCAUGUUAUAUUUUCCUUAAUAUCUUAUUUAUGCUUUUCAUUUCCUUUACUAUACUUAUGUUCUCAUGUUAUUUAUUUCUGUUUCUCUUCUUCAUUAUGUUUAGCUAAUUUUAUUAUGUCAAAGUGAAAAAGGUUUCACUAAUGGUGUUAGAAUAUGUAUAAUAUAAACUCAACAUGGACUUCAAUGUUUAUAUCCAAGAAAGUUUGUUAUUAACAUGUCUUAUCUUUUUAUCUUACUAAUUCUUAAUACCUUGUUUGUUAAGUGGUUAAUCUAGAUUUGUGUUGUAUAACACUUGGUACAACAAAUGCUUGACACUUUCAUAGCCAACUGUAUGGUAUAUAACCUACACUUGUGCUAUUAAAUGAACUUGAUUUGUUGUUAAUAUAAGUUAGCAUCAUGAAUUCCUGACAAUAUUUAAAAGUUUGGUGUUAUUUAAAUAAGAUAAUUAAUAUGAUCAUGUUAAAAAUUUAUAAUGAACUAUUAAGGAUAAAUCAUUUGAUUGGAAUCUCUUUUGUGUGGUUUCUGGUUGAUUAAUAAAAAGAGUUUAUACUAUACUUAUUUCUAAUACUAUUAGUGGAUCCUCUAAAAUUGAAUUUUUUUUUUAUCAUUGUUUAAUCCUUACAUCAAUAUCCCAUAAAAUUCGCAUACACUCUUUGUUUUAUUAAAUAUAUAUAUAUAUUGUUUGUAAUUUAUAUAGUUCACCUCUCUGUGGUUCGACCCUAGUCUUGCCGAGUUAUUUAUUACUUCAACACUCCUGUAUUUGAGAUAAUACAUCAAUCUUUUGGUCGUGUCACAAUUCUUGUGAGAGUGGUUGAGGGACAAGGCUUUGAGCUAUUGAUUGAGCCUAAAAUAUCAUAGUCAAUAAAAAGGGUUUGAAACUGCAACUUUCAAGAGAUGUAGUUGCUGGAAUUGAGUUUGAGAGGGGUUUGGGCAGCAAUAUUAAUGCUGAUAAGGGUGUUAUAAAAGUCAUUAGUGUUGAGAAUGGAGGUUAAAGGACUGGCCAGGGGUGUUAUAAGAGUCAUUAGUGUUGAGAAUGGAGGUUAAGGGAUUGGCCAUGGCUGCUCGAGGGAAAAAAAAUAUUGGAAAUUCGUUAUCUCUUAGUUAUGCUUUGAUACCAUAAAAACAUAACAGAACUGAUGCAUUUCUUAUUAACCAAAACCAAUGUAUAAAUACACCACGGGUAUGACAGAGAAGUAAUGAAGAUCCUACAAACUAGAAGGUUGUUACUAACUGAAUCCUACAUUUGAAUAUACAAUUUGUUAUGGAUAAGUUAAAAUCUGAUUCUCUCUAAUAUGUUCGCCCCUGCUCGUAUUAAUGAUCGGAUUAAAAUAUUUUUAAAUAUAAAAAACAAAAUAUAUAAGUAUUGUUAAUGUUUUUUAACGGUAUUUUUAAUGAAAUAAUAAAAAAGUAAGAUAACCAAAGAAAAAUACUACUACAAUCAUAGUUAAUUUACUUGUGCCCUGUCGUGGUAAGAUGAAAAGUUAUUUUCAAUAGCAAAAAAUAAAAUAAACUUUGCAGGCACUAUUAAUAUUUUAAUGAGUUUCAAUCAAUACUAAAGAUCCGAUUGGUUGAGCUCUUCUAUAGCCUGAGUUUUAAAUUAAAAUAGGUUGGAAUUGACCUAUCUAUAACCUAGUCAACUAAACAAUUCAAAACGUGACCCAAACGAACCAACAAAAAUCUAAAAAAAAGUUGACUUGAUUAAAAAAUAUAUGAUAGAGGCUGCGGUUUAUACCCAAAAAAACAUGAAAAAAAAGAAAAAAAUAACUUUUGUGAGUAACAUUUAUACACAAUUAUACCUAACAUUAAUCUUAAUUUUUACUGUAUUUUCAAAUAUAUUUUUUCUGGUUACAGUUGUUUUUUAAAAUAUUUUUUAUGUUGAAAUAUAUCAAAAUGAUAUUUUUUUAUUAUUUAAAAAUUAGUUUUAAGAUCAGCACAUCAAAACGAUUCAAAAUAUAUAAAAAAUUUAAAAUUUUUAUAAAAAAAAUUAAAUAUUUUUAAAAACAUGGUUUGCAUUCCUAAACGUUAAGCGCAAUAUGAUAAAGAGCCAUUGCCAUCUUUGGCCCGAAACCAAUUUCUUAGACGCCAUGGUAUAUAUAAAGAAAUGAGACCCUUUCAUUCUAGUUAAUUUCACAUAAAAACUAUUUGCAACUUUUGAAUUAAUUCAAUUAAAAAGUUUUAAUAAAAAUUUUUAUGUGAAGAUUCUAAAUGAAAUUUAAUAUCUAAAAAUAAUACAAAAAUAAAGUAGAGACACUAAUUAAAAAAACUAAUGUUAUAACUCGUUUUAUUUCUUUAAAUAUUUAUCUAUUUAUUUUUUAAAGAUAUUUAAAAGAAACAAGAUAAAAGUAAGGAGGAUAAUAUAUAAGAAAAAAUAAAUUGUAUUUUAUCUUUUUAAAAUAUAUAAACUCAAUUUAUUUAUCAAUUAAAUUUAAAUUAAAUAUUAUAAUUAAAUUUAAUUACAAUAAAAAAUUGAUUUAAAAGUAUUAAUCUAGAAUCUUGCUAUUCCAAUACACUUUAAUAUUUUUUUUUGUCAUUCUUUCUCAAAUUAUUAUCCCUUUUCUCAUCUUUCACGGAUAAAACUAUUUUUUUUUAGCAUGAAUUUGUUUAUUUUUGUGUUUUAAAAAUUUAAAUUUUAUUUUAUUUUAAAUUAUUUUUUUAGAAUUUUCAAAUUAUUUUAAUGUAGUGAUGUUAAAAAUAAAUUUUUUUAAAAUAAAAAAAAUAUUAUUUUAAUAUAUUUUUUAAAAAAACACUUUAAAAAAUUACUCAUAUUUUUAAAUACCUAAAAUAUGCUACAAGGAAAAAAAAUGUUUAACUACUUUUUCAUUGCUAACGUUAUGGCCUACGUUUUUUUUUUUGUUUUUUUUUUUAUUAAACCUCUGAUGCCGUCCUUGUUAUAAUGAAAUAUUUCUGCUCAUACAGUAAUAAUUUAUAAUAAAACAUUAAAUUUUAUUUUCAAGUUUCAAAAGAUUCAAACGUUAUUAUCAGAACUCAUGAGAAAAUAAACUACAACGGAUAUAUUUUUUAAACAAGACAAUAUGAGAACAAUGCAUAAUCUCCAAUGUCAAGUAAAUCUUAACUAUGGAAGAGUAUGCUUUCCAGUAUGAUAAUAAUUGUUUUUCAAAUAACUUUUCGUGUAGAAAUACAUGUUAAUGAUAUUUUUUUAUUUUUUAAAAAUUAUUUUUGACAUCAGUACUUCAAAACAAUUCAAAAAAUAUAAACUACACUCAAUUUUAACAAAAAAGGUUUUUUUAAAUUUUAAAAAACGCAAGUUGAACUGAGUUUCAAAAUGUAGUCGAAAAGUCUCACAAAAUCUAAAGAAACUGUAUUGAAACUUGCUUUGAGUUCCGUACCAAUAAAAUAUCAAGAUUUGAAAUACAAUACAUGCAAUUAGAGGGACGUGACUGGGUGCCGUGGCUGCUGGUAGCAUGUUGUUUUUCGUCACCUACUCCUCCUUCGUCCUUCUUGGAGGCUCCACAAUUGUCAAAAGUUUUUUUUUUUGGUUUUUGUUUUUAUUAUUAUUAUAUGUAUUUGUUCAGCUUAUUGAUUAAUUUUUUAAAUUUUAAAACUAAUAAUUAGAUAAUAUUAUAAUAAUUUUAAAAUUUAUAGCACUUGAAUUAGUAAUUCUUGAAAAUAAAUUUAACAUUUAAUUAGUCAAACUACAUCUUUUUAAUAAUUUUAAAAUUUAUAAUAUUUGAACCAGUGUUAUUAAAUCUGGCUGAUCUGAGGGUGGCACCGAUUCGGGUCAGUGCAACGACCCCGUCAAACCGUGACCCGGACAAGACAUGAUGUUUUUUUAUUUAUAAAUAUGAGAUUUGAAACCCAUUACUAUAUAUACUCUAUGUUCCCAAGAAAAGAAUUAUGUUUUUUCAAUGUGAGAUAAAAAUCUUUUUGAUUUAAAUACUUCAACUUAAAAAGAUAAUAUAGUAUCUUUUUAAUGUAAGAUUUGAAACCCAUUAAUAUAUAUAUUCUAUAUUCCCAAGAAAAAAAGUUAUUUUUUUUAAUGUAGGAUUGAAAACCCAUUAGUAUAUAUACUCUAUGUUCACAAGAAAAAAACUAUGUUUUGUCAAUGUUGGAUAAUAAAUUUUUUUGAUUUAAAUACUUUAACUUAAAAGCUUAAUAUAAUAUCUUUUUAAUGCGGGAUAAACUUUUUUUUAAAAUAUUCUUUUAAACUUCAUUAUUUAUAAUAUAUAUAGUUUAUAUUUAUAUGAAUUUUUUUUUAAUUUUUUUAUAUAAAAUAUUAAAAAUUUAUUUUUUUAAUUUUUCUGAGUUAAUUCUAAUUAAUCUUAGUCCAUCCAUAAAAUCAGGACCGGCAUUUUAACCAGGUACCAGUAAUUUGUUGAAAAUAAAUUUAAAAUUUUACCAUUACAGCAUGGAUGAGCCUGAUCUUGUAUUCAUUUCGUCAUUGCUCAGGUCAUCAACGGCUAUAUAAACCCAACCCAGACCAUUUUGUAUUUAGACACGAUUCUGUCCCAAAUCACCGCUCUUUUGCACCUUUAAAAAUAGGCCACGCACGCGCACCUCUAACUGUCACUCUUAUGGCUUCUGCUGCGUAAGAAGCCGCAGCUUGCUUUCUCUCAAUUCUUCAACUUGUGUUUUGCUGUUUGAUUGAUCUCUCUCUGUUUUUUGUUUUGUUUUCUGUUUUGGAAGUUUGGAUAAGAGCGUACCAGAGAAAUUGCCCCCAUCAUUGGAUGCGACUGCAGAGCAACCUCCACUAUUUGAUGGAACUACCAAGUUUGUUUUUUUUUUUUUCUUUUUCUGUUGCUGUGAUUGACAGUAGUAAGAACUUUGUUUCUAAAUUAGUUGUUGUUUUUGUUGUGUCUAAGGUUGUAUACAAGCUACACUUGUCCAUUUGCCCAUAGAUAGAAAAUGGAGAUUCUUGUAUUUCUGAAUAAUAUGUAUUCUGAUCUUAUUAUCACUGUAUAUACGUAUGCAUGUAUAUAUAGUUACAGAAUUUGUAACUGCCAUGACAACUGUCAUGACAGUUGUUAUAACUGAAUGAGAAUCAGUUAUAUUUGUUAUGAAUAAGUUGCUAACUGAUUCUGUUACAAGGAGCUAAUACUGUUACAAUAAUUAACAGCCACAGUAAAUCUAUCAUUUACUUAAUCUAGCCUUCUUCCAUUACUGACGUGAUGACGUGAUCUAGCCUUCUUCUUUCAUUACUGGUUUAUCAUCCCCCCGCAAGUGAAAGGGUCUUGGGACAAGGCACAACUGUGACUUGAGAAACAAGAAUCGUGAACUUGUAAGAUGCUUAGUAAGGAUAUCGGCAGGCUGAUCUUCAGUAGGAAUGAAUUGUAAUUCGAUUUUCCCUUGCAGAACUUGGUCACGAAUAAAAUGUAGAUCAAUCUCUAUAUGUUUAGUUCGUGCGUGAAAAACUGAAUGUUUUGCCAUAUGAUAGGCACUGAUGUUGUCAUACCAGAGUAUAGGGACAACAGGGGUAGAUAUACAUAAUUCGUGCAUCAAAGCUUGAAGCCAGAUAAUCUCUGCAGUUGCCAAAACAAGCCCCCUGUACUCCGAUUCUGCACUGCUUCGUGAGACCAAUUUUUGCUUGGUAGAGGACCAGGAGAUGAGAUUACCCCCUAGAUAAAUGAGAUAUCCACUGGCACUUCUGCGAUCAUCAGGCUGAGCUGCCCAAUCAGCAUCAGUGAACCCUUCAAUUGUCAGCUGGGGUGAUGAAUUGAGUAGUAAUCCAUCAUGCAGAGUUCCACGUAGAUAACGAAGAAUGUGUUUGACAGAGAGCCAAUGUGCUGAGGUCGGUUGGUGCAUAAACUGACAUGCUUUGUUCACAGAGAAGGCGAUGUCAGGUCGAGUAAUAGUGAGAUAUUGGAGAGCUCCCACUAUACUGCGAUAGACCAAAGGAUCUUCCAUAGGUUCCCCAUCAAAUUUGGAUAAAUUCUGUCCCACAGAACCAGGAGUGUUAACAGGUUUAGUAUCAAACAUAGCUGUUCUGUGCAGUAAGUCAGAGAUGUAUUUGGUUUGGCUGAGAUGCAUAGAAUUGUCAUGGUAGGAGACUUCAAUACCUAGGAAGUAGGUUAGUCUUCCCAAAUCACGCAAAGCAAAUGCAGAAUUCAGUUUCUCAAUAAGUGCAGUGACUUGCAUAUGUGAGCUGCCUGUGACAAGAAUGUCAUCUACAUAGAUGAGCACGAUCAAAGUUGUAGAUUGGCCAAAAGAGAUGAACAUGGAGCUAUCAGUCCUGGAGUUACUGAAUCCCCACUGCAGAAGAGUAGAACUGAGGCGUUGGAACCAAGCUCGUGGAGCUUGUUUCAGGCCAUACAAGGCCUUCUUCAGGCGACAAACUUUGGCAGGAAAUUUGGUGUCCACGUAGCCAGGAGGUUGAGUCAUGUAGACUUGUUCCUCAAGUUCCCCAUUCAAAAACGCAUUGUGGACAUCAAGUUGUCUGACUUCCCAAUGGUAACUGAGAGCAAUGGUGAGAAUGAUGCGGAUGGUUGCAGCCUUGACAACUGGGCUGAAUGUCUCAAAUAGUCAAGGCCAAGUGUUUGAUGAUACCCUUUGGCCACAAGUCUGGCUUUAUACCUGUCAAUACUCCCGUCUGGUUUGUGUUUUAAUUUGUAUACCCACUUGCAACCUAUGAUGUUGAUAUCAGAAGGCUUUGCAACCAGAUCCCAAGUGUGAUUGUGAUGAAGUGCUGCAAUCUCUUGAUCCAUUGCCUUGAUCCAAUGUGGAUCCUUUAGAGCCUGACUCAGUGUAUAUGGUUCUGUUACAGCAGUGAGAUUAAGAAUAACCUUCUUUUUAGUGAUGCCACUCAUUAACCUUGUUUUCAUACGUGAAGGUGGACUAGUUUCAGGGAUGGAAACAUCAGUGGCUGAUGCAGAAGAAGAAGGUGAACUUGAAGAAGUUGCAGGCUCAUUUAAGGAAACAGAACCAGUUGUUGGCUGAAUGGAAUCAAUAUGAGGUAAGGUUGGUGUUACUGUUGGAUUGGGAGGCAUUUCACUAGGUGGAAAUACUAAAACAGGAUCCAAGGUGUUAGAGUGGUUGUCAUCAGGUUGGGAAGGAGAAGCUUGAGUGGUGAGUGGAAACUGUGUUUCAUCAAAUAUCACAUGAGGUGUGAUAUAAAUGCGGCCAGUGCUGUAAUCUAGACACAAAUAACCCUUAUUGCUGUGACUAUAUCCAAUGAAGAUACAUUGAACUGACCGAUAUUGGAGUUUGUGAGUGUUGUAGGGUCGAAUGAAAGGGUAGCACAAGCAGCCAAACACUUUAGAGACCUGUAGUCAGGCAUCUUUUGAAACAGAAUGAGGUAAGGUGAGGCAUUGUUGAGUACCUUACUAGGCAUUCGAUUGAUAAGAAUGUGGCUGAUUGAAAAGCAUAUUGCCAGAACUUCAUAGGCAACGAGGCAUGUGCUAGUAAUGCCAAUCCAGUCUCCACAACAUGUCUAUGUUUCCUUUCUACUCUCCCGUUCUGAGAUGAGUUAUAAGGGCAGGAGAAACGAUGCAAGACACCAGCCUGUCGAAGAAAUGUGAUGAAGGCCUUGAACUCACCUCCAUUGUCAGACUGCACACUUUUUAUAGUAUCAUCAAACUGAUUUUCUACUUGUAGUUUGAAUUGUUGGAACAUUGAGAGGGCUUGAUCCUUUGUAUGCAGUGGAUAAAGCCAUGUGUACCGUGAGAAAUCAUCUAGGAAUAGAAUGAAGUACUUAGCACCAGAAGUAGACUUUUCAUAGGCAGGUCCCCAUAUAUCCAUAUGAAUUAAUUCCAACGGUUUGGAGGCACGAGAAGAGGAGAGACGAGUUGGCAGUCUGUGACUUUUGGCAAGCUGACAGGAGGAACAUAUAGCAGAACAAGCAGCAGUUUUAUUCUUUUCAUAGGAGAUAUUACAACUCUGUAAUAUUUGGGUUACAACUUCAGUUGCAGCAUGGCCUAGUCUGUGGUGCCAUAUGUCUACUUUAUUGUCAGUAGAGUUGGUGAUUGGAGAGUGAAAACCAGAAAACUUUGAUGCCAACGUAUGCCAUCUUCUUAUUCUUCAGUGCUGGAAAUUUGUAAAGUCCAUUCUCAAGUCUGCCUUGUAUUAGUUUCUCCUUCGUACGUAGAUCCUUCACAGUGAAACUAUUAGAUCGAAAUUCAAUCAAGACAUCAUUGUCUGAGCAGAAUUUAGCAACACUAAUCAAGUUUGCUGAGAUGAAUGGAACAUGGAAAAUCUUCUUGAGUUGAAAUGAUCGGGAGUUAGAGACUAGAUGAUGGGAACCAAUGUUGGAGAUAGAUAAGUGCUUACCAUUCCUAACUGUCACCUUAUCUGUUCCUGUAUAUGGAGUAGCAUUGCUUAGAUUUCCAGCCUCUUGAGUCAGGUGAUGGCUUGCUCCAGAAUCAAGAUACCAAUUGUCAUCUGCAAUGUUAUUAGAGGAGGCAACCAUAGCAGGUAUAUUGGUUUGAUUUCUUGUAUUCAUGUUCAUAGAGUUAGUACCAUUAUUGGAAGAAUUUUGAUAGGAAAUGUCGAAUCUGUGAUAACAAACAUGUACUGUGUGACCAAACUUGCCACAUAACUGACAUUGUGGCUUUUCUGGAUUGAAUGAACUACUUCUUCCAUUCUGUGUAUAUCUGCCCCCACGACCACGGCUUCUAUAGUUGUAAUUGUUGGUGUUUGGAGUGAAAUUUGAGUAGCUGUGUCCUCUACUGCCAUUGUAUCUCCUUCCACCACCUCUGUUAUUAGAGGAAGAUGCAUAAUUGACUGUCAUUGCAGAGAUCUGAUCUGCUGAGCUUUGUUGCUCAAGUCGAUUUUCAAAUGCUAGAAGCAUGCUGUGAAUUGCUUCAACUGAGAUUUUAUCAUCUCUAAUAUUGAUGGCUGUGACUACUGCAUUGUAGUCGGAGCCUAGUCCUCCAAGAAGAUUCAUGAUUUGAUCCUGUUCUGAUACAGGUUCUCCAAUGGCUGCCAGGCUAUCUGCAGAUCCUUUCACUUUCAUGAUAUAAUCUAUCAUAGGCAGUGAUCCUUUCUUUGUGGACUGUAACUCAAGCCUUAGUUGCAUUAUUCUGGCUCUUGAAGACGAAGAGAAGGUCUUUUCCAGUGCAUUCCAAGCAGACUGAGAAGUAGUAUGUCCAAUGAUUUGUGCCAUGAUAGCUGGCGUGAGGGAAGAGUAAAUCCAGCUGAGGAUUGUGCGAUCCUGUCUUCUCCAUGCAAUGAACGCAGGAUUGAUUACUCCUGCACUCAACUCCUUUUCUGGACAGGCAGAGGUGCCAUCUAUGAAGUCUUCAAAUCCAUUAGCAAAGACAAUGUUAUCAAUUUGAGAUUUCCACAGGACAUAGUUGGUUCGAUCCAGUUUUACUGGUAAUGUAUGAUUCAGUUGUUGAUAGGAUGCAGUGAGUGCCAUUGUUGUGUUUUGUUCAGGUUCAAGAGAGCCAGAGUUAGAGAAGGAGGAGUGACUUGACGCAGAAGUCAUGGUUGAGUUGAAGAGAGAAAGAGGCUCUGAUACCAAGAUAGAAAAUGGAGAUUCGUGUAUUUCUGAAUAAUAUGUAUUCUGAUCUUAUUAUCACUGUAUAUACGUAUGCAUGUAUAUAUAGUUAUAGAAUUUGUAACUGUCAUGACAACUGUCAUGACAUUUGUUAUAACUGAAUGAGAAUCAGUUAUAUUUGUUAUGAAUCAGUUGCUAACUGAUUCUGUUACAAGGAGCUAAUACUGUUACAAUAAUUAACAGCCACAGUAAAUCUAUCAUUUACUUAAUCUAGCCUUCUUCCAUUACUGACGUGAUGACGUGAUCUAGCCUUCUUUUUUCAUUACUGGUUUAUCAUCGAGUUUGGAUCACCAGGAAUUUCAAGGUCUCUUAUCAAUCCUUUCUGUUCUUUGCUGUCACUUUACUUUACUUUACUUUUUUUUUUUAUUAUUAUUUUUUCUUCUUGAUGGGUGCAGGGAUUACAGGACGAGAUUAAGCUAGUCCCUCUAAUCCUUCAAAAUAGGCCUGCUUGGUAUUCAGAGAAAGUUUACCCUCCAAACAAGGUCAAUACUUCCUUUUCUUUAUGCUUCAUUAAUGCGUCCUUUUAUUGUUAUCCGUCACUCAUACCGUAUUUUUCAAGAAAUGAUACACUAUUCUUUCAUUUUUCUUUCUAUUUUUGUAGACAAUAUUGCAGUAGGUCACCAAAGAACAAAGGAAAAAAAAAAAAACACUCUGCAAUGCAUCGGUCUAACAAGUUUCCUGUCAAAAACCCACAGAGUAGGGUUUAUAGUUGGGGUAGUAUGAGCUGUAAUAGCAUUGUUUUUGAGGCACUGUCGAUUCUGCUUUGUUCUCGUAUGGCUCUAGUGAAGUUGUUUAUGAUGGCUCUCGUAAAAUAUUGUGGUCAUAAAGCUGAUGAAUUAUAGAAUUUAGCCUGAUACUUACUGAAUUAUUGGCCGUUACAUCAAUUUUUCACUGAAAGUUCCUGGAGUAUAGUUCUGAUUUUUGGAGUUAGUACUAAUUUGAUAGCUAGUUGUAUCAAGUGCGUACGGUCGCUGUUUAACCUAUGAAUUAUUUAUCAUUUCUUGGUUGAUUACAAAACCAUUUUUGUUCAUAGGUUCCAUCACUGGAACACAAUGGCAAAAUCACCGGGGAGAGUCUUGAUUUGAUUAAGUAUUUAGAAAGCAACUUUCAAGGACCUUCCCUUCUCUCUGUGGUAAGAUGCGUAUGAUUCUCCUGCACUCUUGAUGUGAACUCCCAAUCAAAUUGAAAAAAUUAACAAAGUAAGUUACUGUAGGAUCCUGCUAAGAAAGAGUUCGCUGAAGAGUUGUUCUCCUACACUGAUACAUUCACCCGUACAGUGUUUACUUCAUUCAAGGGAGACCCGGCGAAGGAAACUGGUAGCUUCAGAUUUUCCUCUCUUUCUAUGUGUGGUGUUUAAUAUAUAAACUGGACUAACUAUAAUUAGUAACUUGCAUCAGGUCCUGUUUUUGAUCAUCUAGAAAAUGCUCUGCAUAAAUUUGGUGAUGGACCAUUCUUCCUUGGUCAAGAAUUCAGUUUGGUAUGUUUUCAGUUAAUACCACGAGCACCUUAGCCUGUUCUGUUUGUUGAAUUUUUCACCGUAUAUAUAUGUUUUCAGAAAUAUGUAUGGUGAAUCAUUUGCCUUUGCACAUUAUUUGAAUGUGUUAUGUUUAUAUGUAUGUUUAAAAACCAUUUGUUCUCAGGUGGACAUAGCCUAUAUCCCAUUCGUUGAAAGAUUCUGCAUCUUCCUGUCAGAAGUGUUUAAGUAUGAUAUUACUGCUGGCAGACCAAAACUGGCAGCUUGGAUUAAGGUAAUUUGGAACCCAUUUUUUCUUCAUCUGCCCCCGUGUUCCAUGCUCUUUCACUUUGUUCCUCCCGGAUUUACCUGGUUCUGUACUCUUUAUCUUUUUCAUCGUUUGGUUUAAAGCAAUUUACAGGAUCUUCCAUCUUGCAUGACUUAGAUCAUGUCUGGUUAUUGUGUUGGCCUCUUCUCUAGUGUCUAAUAAUUAAGCUUAUGAUGAGCAAUCAUUUGCUGUUACGCAACUGAACAUUUGAGCUGAAUUUCCUAGUGCUCCUUAUCUUGAACCAGUAUUAAAAAAGAGGCUGAGCUUCUUUUUGGGCUAGGGAUUUUGGUUUUGGAUGGUAACUUGUCCUUUUAUAAAUCCAAACGCAGGAGGUGAACAAGAUUGAGGCUUACAAGCAGACAAAACCUGAUCCAAAAGAGUUCGUUGAAGUUUACAAGAAGCGCUUUAUGGUAAAGAGUCAAAACCAUCCUGAUAUGCUUAUAAUUCAUGGAAGUUGUGGUGAAGUAACUGAUCACCUCUUUAUGUUGCUUCGCAGGCUUAGAAUGAAAAUGCCACUACACCGAACAAGGGCCUUGAUGUCUCUUAGCUGAAUAACGGUUGUGUUUGUAGGGUUAAGUUGCUAUAUAUAUAUAUAUAUAUAUAUAUAUAUAAUGGUUGAUGUUUCAUGGUUGGUCUCCACGGUUGUCUACUUAUAGCUCUGGUAAAAAUAAUGAAGAAUAAGCCUCUAUUUCAUGUCUCGCUCAGCGUGUUCGCUAGAUUUCCAGGAUGGUAUUACUUUAGCACCUGUUUUUAGGCUGGAUUCUGUAGUACUUUUACUCCAAGCUCUUUGCAUGGUGUUUAACGAAAUGCUUGGCAUGUAGUAUGAAUAUAAAAGCUCCUGGUACUUUUGUGAUAUUGUUGCUCGCCGGAAUUUGUUGCU
Molecule: long non-coding RNA, 19427 nt
Filed under: Populus tremula
Lineage: Eukaryota; Viridiplantae; Streptophyta; Magnoliopsida; Malpighiales; Salicaceae
Description: long non-coding RNA (PTRE_LNC001209)
Source: RNAcentral